UACGUAGGGACCGAGCGUUGUCCGGAUUCAUUGGGCGUAAAGAGCUCGUAGGCGGCCACUCAAGUCGAAUGUGAAACCUCGAGGCUUAACCUCGAGCCUGCAUUCGAUACUGGGCGGCUAGAGUCUGGUAGGGGGAUCUGGAAUUCCUGGUGUAGCGGUGGAAUGCGUAGAUAUUGGGAAGAACACCGGUGGCGAAGGCGGCUACCUGGACCGGUACUGACGCUGAGGCGCGAAAGCCAGGGGAGCGAAUGGG
This 253-nucleotide ribosomal RNA is filed under the name uncultured bacterium. Its description in RNAcentral is "partial 16S ribosomal RNA". It matches the Rfam family "Bacterial small subunit ribosomal RNA", at positions 524 to 776 of the family's 1533-position model. The record is from RNAcentral.